AUACGUAGGUGGCGAGCGUUGUCCGGAAUUACUGGGCGUAAAGGAUGCGUAGGUGGAUAUUUAAGUGGGAUGUGAAAUCCCCGGGCUCAACCCGGGAACUGCAUUCCAAACUGGGUAUCUAGAGUGCAGGAGAGGAAAGCGGAAUUCCUAGUGUAGCGGUGAAAUGCGUAGAUAUUAGGAGGAACACCAGUGGCGAAGGCGGCUUUCUGGACUGUAACUGACACUGAGGCAUGAAAGCGUGGGUAGCAAACAGGAUUAGAUACCCUGGUAGUCCACGCCGUAAACGAUGGGUACUAGGUGUAGGAGGUAUCGACCCCUUCUGUGCCGUCGUUAACACAAUAAGUACCCCGCCUGGGGAGUACGGUCGCAAGACUAAAACUCAAAUGAAUUGACGGGG
This 397-nucleotide ribosomal RNA is filed under the name uncultured bacterium. Its description in RNAcentral is "partial 16S ribosomal RNA". It matches the Rfam family "Bacterial small subunit ribosomal RNA", at positions 523 to 918 of the family's 1533-position model. The record is from RNAcentral.